AAGCUCCUCCCCCGGCGGCGAGCCAGGGAGAAAGGAUGGCCGGCCGGGCGGCGCGGUUGGUCCUGCUAGCUGGGGCAGCGGCGCUGGCGAGCGGCUCCCAGGGCGACCGUGAGCCGGUGUACCGCGACUGCGUACUGCAGUGCGAAGAGCAGAACUGCUCUGGGGGCGCUCUGAAUCACUUCCGCUCCCGCCAGCCAAUCUACAUGAGUCUAGCAGUGGCCCUUCUCCCGGUUCCUGUUCUUUCAAGAGCCGGCAUCGGCCGUGGCCUCGUUUCUCAAUGGCCUGGCCAGCCUGGUGAUGCUCUGCCGCUACCGCACCUUCGUGCCAGCCUCCUCCCCCAUGUACCACACCUGUGUGGCCUUCGCCUGGGUGUCCCUCAAUGCAUGGUUCUGGUCCACAGUCUUCCACACCAGGGACACUGACCUCACAGAGAAAAUGGACUACUUCUGUGCCUCCACUGUCAUCCUACACUCAAUCUACCUGUGCUGCGUCAGGUGAGCCUGCCUGGGUGGCUGCAGGGGCAAAAUCGAACCCUGGGGGCAGAAA
This 546-nucleotide small RNA is filed under the name Pan troglodytes (chimpanzee). RNAcentral's name for it is "retained intron". Lineage: Eukaryota; Metazoa; Chordata; Mammalia; Primates; Hominidae. The record is from RNAcentral.